RNAcentral lists this unclassified non-coding RNA (345 nucleotides) under Zea mays. RNAcentral describes it as "misc RNA Zm00001eb216670". The record is from RNAcentral. Lineage: Eukaryota; Viridiplantae; Streptophyta; Magnoliopsida; Poales; Poaceae.
UUCCCAGGAUCAAGGUGUAUCUGUACAUGAUCUUAUUGUUCACUGCCAGCCGCAGCCUUAAAUAUCAUCUUUCUGGAAACAAAACUCCCUGCCCCAUUCCUCACAUCGGAACGAUAUAUAUAGAAGGGGAGCGGGGGGAAAAGAACUCCAACAAAACUAAGGAGAUAAAAAAAAAGGACUGCUGCUACAAUGGACCCGGAAGAACCAGUCUCUCACCCGCCGAAUCACAUCAUUUUACAGACAAAAUCCUCCGAUCCCAUGGCUGCGCUUCAAAAUCCAGCCACUCGAAUGAUUUCCGGAGAAUUCGCGGCAAAUUUGCUUCGAACUCAGAUCUCCUUCACUGCU